This 65-nucleotide transfer RNA is filed under the name Aneurus sublobatus. RNAcentral describes it as "tRNA-Tyr". The record is from RNAcentral. Lineage: Eukaryota; Metazoa; Arthropoda; Insecta; Hemiptera; Aradidae.
AAUAAGGUGUCUGAUUUUAAGGUCGUAAAUUGUAAGUUUAUGUAUGGUUUAUUAACCCCUUAUUA